AUUGAACGCUGGCGGCAGGCCUAACACAUGCAAGUCGAACGGUAACAGGAAGCAGCUUGCUGCUUUGCUGACGAGUGGCGGACGGGUGAGUAAUGUCUGGGAAACUGCCUGAUGGAGGGGGAUAACUACUGGAAACGGUAGCUAAUACCGCAUAACGUCGCAAGACCAAAGAGGGGGACCUUAGGGCCUCUUGCCAUCGGAUGUGCCCAGAUGGGAUUAGCUAGUAGGUGGGGUAACGGCUCACCUAGGCGACGAUCCCUAGCUGGUCUGAGAGGAUGACCAGCCACACUGGAACUGAGACACGGUCCAGACUCCUACGGGAGGCAGCAGUGGGGAAUAUUGCACAAUGGGCGCAAGCCUGUUGCAGCCAUGCCGCGUGUAUGAAGAAGGCCUUCGGGUUGUAAAGUACUUUCAGCGGGGAGGAAGGGAGUAAAGUUAAUACCUUUGCUCAUUGACGUUACCCGCAGAAGAAGCACCGGCUAACUCCGUG
RNAcentral lists this ribosomal RNA (490 nucleotides) under uncultured bacterium. RNAcentral describes it as "partial 16S ribosomal RNA". It matches the Rfam family "Bacterial small subunit ribosomal RNA", at positions 30 to 507 of the family's 1533-position model. The record is from RNAcentral.